Molecule: ribosomal RNA, 853 nt
Filed under: Salmonella enterica
Lineage: Bacteria; Pseudomonadati; Pseudomonadota; Gammaproteobacteria; Enterobacterales; Enterobacteriaceae
Description: partial 23S ribosomal RNA
Rfam family: Bacterial large subunit ribosomal RNA
Source: RNAcentral
GGGUUGUGAGGUUAAGCGACUAAGCGUACACGGUGGAUGCCCUGGCAGUCAGAGGCGAUGAAGGGCGUGCUAAUCUGCGAUAAGCGCCGGUAAGGUGAUAUGAACCGUUAUAACCGGCGAUACCCGAAUGGGGAAACCCAGUGUGAUUCGUCACACUAUCAUUACGUGAAUACAUAGCGUAAUGAAGCGAACCGGGGGAACUGAAACAUCUAAGUACCCCGAGGAAAAGAAAUCAACCGAGAUUCCCCCAGUAGCGGCGAGCGAACGGGGAGGAGCCCAGAGCCUGAAUCAGCAUGUGUGUUAGUGGAAGCGUCUGGAAAGGCGCGCGAUACAGGGUGACAGCCCCGUACACAAAAGCGCAUGUGUUGUGAGCUCGAUGAGUAGGGCGGGACACGUGGUAUCCUGUCUGAAUAUGGGGGGACCAUCCUCCAAGGCUAAAUACUCCUGACUGACCGAUAGUGAACCAGUACCGUGAGGGAAAGGCGAAAAGAACCCCGGCGAGGGGAGUGAAAAAGAACCUGAAACCGUGUACGUACAAGCAGUGGGAGCACCCUUUGGGGUGUGACUGCGUACCUUUUGUAUAAUGGGUCAGCGACUUAUAUUCUGUAGCAAGGUUAACCGAAUAGGGGAGCCGGAGGGAAACCGAGUCUUAAUUGGGCGUUAAGUUGCAGGGUAUAGACCCGAAACCCGGUGAUCUAGCCAUGGGCAGGUUGAAGGUUGGGUAACACUAACUGGAGGACCGAACCGACUAAUGUUGAAAAAUUAGCGGAUGACCUGUGGCUGGGGGUGAAAGGCCAAUCAAACCGGGAGAUAGCUGGUUCUCCCCGAAAGCUAUUUAGGUAGCGCCUCGUGA